RNAcentral lists this ribosomal RNA (496 nucleotides) under uncultured bacterium. Its description in RNAcentral is "partial 16S ribosomal RNA". It matches the Rfam family "Bacterial small subunit ribosomal RNA", at positions 29 to 507 of the family's 1533-position model. The record is from RNAcentral.
AUGAACGCUGGCGGCGUGCCUAAUACAUGCAAGUCGAGCGAACAGACGAGGAGCUUGCUCCUCUGACGUUAGCGGCGGACGGGUGAGUAACACGUGGAUAACCUACCUAUAAGACUGGGAUAACUUCGCGAAACCGGAGCUAAUACCGGAUAAUAUAUUGAACCGCAUGGUUCAAUAGUGAAAGACGGUUUUGCUGUCACUUAUAGAUGGAUCCGCGCCGCAUUAGCUAGUUGGUAAGGUAACGGCUUACCAAGGCAACGAUGCGUAGCCGACCUGAGAGGGUGAUCGGCCACACUGGAACUGAGACACGGUCCAGACUCCUACGGGAGGCAGCAGUAGGGAAUCUUCCGCAAUGGGCGAAAGCCUGACGGAGCAACGCCGCGUGAGUGAUGAAGGUCUUCGGAUCGUAAAACUCUGUUAUUAGGGAAGAACAAAUGUGUAAGUAACUAUGCACGUCUUGACGGUACCUAAUCAGAAAGCCACGGCUAACUACGUG